This 253-nucleotide ribosomal RNA is filed under the name uncultured bacterium. RNAcentral describes it as "partial 16S ribosomal RNA". It matches the Rfam family "Bacterial small subunit ribosomal RNA", at positions 524 to 776 of the family's 1533-position model. The record is from RNAcentral.
UACAGAGGGUGCGAGCGUUAAUCGGAAUUACUGGGCGUAAAGCGUGCGUAGACGGCUAUCUAAGUCGGGUGUGAAAGCCCCGGGCUCAACCUGGGAAUUGCAUUCGAGACUGAAUAGCUAGGGUGCGGUAGAGGGAAGCGGAAUUUCCGGUGUAGCGGUGAAAUGCGUAGAUAUCGGAAGGAACAUCAGUGGCGAAAGCGGCUUCCUGGACCAGCACCGACGUUCAGGCACGAAAGCGUGUGGAGCAAACAGG